UACAGGGGAUGCAAGUGUUAUCCGGAAUUAUUGGGCGUAAAGCGUCUGCAGGUGGACUUUUAAGUCUUUUGUUAAAUCUCUGGGCUUAACCUAGAAUAUGCAAAAGAAACUAUUUGUCUUGAGUAUGGUAGAGGUAAAGGGAAUUUCCAGUGGAGCGGUGAAAUGCUUAGAUAUUGGAAAGAACACCAAGAGCGAAGGCACUUUACUGGGCCAGUACUGACACUCAGAGACGAAAGCUAGGGGAGCAAACGGG
RNAcentral lists this ribosomal RNA (253 nucleotides) under uncultured bacterium. RNAcentral describes it as "partial 16S ribosomal RNA". It matches the Rfam family "Bacterial small subunit ribosomal RNA", at positions 524 to 776 of the family's 1533-position model. The record is from RNAcentral.